Molecule: small RNA, 126 nt
Filed under: Marmota monax (woodchuck)
Lineage: Eukaryota; Metazoa; Chordata; Mammalia; Rodentia; Sciuridae
Source: RNAcentral
GCCAGGUGCGGUGGUGUAUGCCUGUAAUCCCAGCAGCUCAGGAGGCGGAGGCAGGAGGAUGGUAAGUUGAAAGCCAGCCUCAGUAAAAAGCGAGGUGCUAAGCAACUCAGUGAGAUCCUGUCUCUA